CGCAUCUGUGCAUGCAGCAUAUCAAUAAGCGGAGGAAAAGAAACUAACAAGGAUUCCCUUAGUAACGGCGAGUGAAGCGGGAAGAGCUCAAAUUUGAAAUCUUCAAGGUUUUACCUUGACGAAUUGUAGUUUAAAGAAGUGUUUUUCUGUUGAAGUUUUGGUAAAAGUUCUUUGGAAUAGGACAUCAUAGAGGGUGAGAAUCCCGUAUUUGACCAUUAUUUUCAGCUGUGUGAUACACUUUCAAAGAGUCGGAUUGUUUGGGAAUGCAGUCCAAAAUGGGUGGUAAAUUUCAUCUAAAGCUAAAUAUUGGCGAGAGACCGAUAGCGAACAAGUACCGUGAGGGAAAGACUGAAAAGAACUUUUGAAAAGAGAGUUAAACAGUACGUGAAAUUGUCAAAAGGGAAGCGUUUGACACCAGUGUUGUUUUCCUCGAAAAUCAAUUAAAAAGAGUUUGAUUUUGUUGUGUAUUGACCUUAACAGCUUGCAUUUCAAUUUUCUUGCUUUUUUUAAUGCACUUUUCGUUUAACAAGUCAACAUCAGUUUCUUUUGUUGUAAAAAGGUCAUUGGAAGGUGGCUUUCUUUUCGGAGAAAGUGUUUAUAGCCUUUGACUCCUGCAAUCGGAGAGACUGAGGUCUGCAGCGUAGAUCCUUCGGGAUUAGAUACAUUUGUGCUAAGUUAUAGCUUUUUAUAGACAACUUGUUGACUAUGAUUAGUCUUGUAGCUUACUCGCUUAUGCUAUUUUACCUACGCUUAGGAUGUUGAUGUGAUACUGCGAGC
RNAcentral lists this ribosomal RNA (777 nucleotides) under uncultured Neocallimastigales. RNAcentral describes it as "partial large subunit ribosomal RNA". It matches the Rfam family "Eukaryotic large subunit ribosomal RNA", at positions 26 to 645 of the family's 3401-position model. Lineage: Eukaryota; Fungi; Neocallimastigomycota; Neocallimastigomycetes; Neocallimastigales. The record is from RNAcentral.